GAUGAACGCUGGCGGCGUGCCUAAUACAUGCAAGUCGAGCGAACAGACGAGGAGCUUGCUCCUCUGACGUUAGCGGCGGACGGGUGAGUAACACGUGGAUCACCUCCCUAUAAGACUGGGAUAACUUCGGGAAACCGGCGCUAAUCCCGGAUAAUAUAUUGAACCGCAUGGUUCAAUAGUGAAAGACGGUUUUGCUGUCACUUAUCGAUGGAUCCGCGCCGCAUUAGCUAGUUGGUAAGGUAACGGCUUACCAAGGCAACGAUGCGUCGCCGACCUGAGAGGAGGAUCGGCCACACUGGAACGGAGACACGGUCCAGACUCCUACGGGAGGCAGCAGUAGGGAAUCGUCCGCAAUGGGCGAAAGCCUGACGGAGCAACGCCGCGUGAGUGAUGAAGGUCUUCGGAUCGUAAAACUCUGUUAUUAGGGAAGAACAAAUGUGUAAGUAACUAUGCACGUCUUGACGGUACCUAAUCAGAAAGCCACGGCUAACUACGUG
RNAcentral lists this ribosomal RNA (497 nucleotides) under uncultured bacterium. RNAcentral's name for it is "partial 16S ribosomal RNA". It matches the Rfam family "Bacterial small subunit ribosomal RNA", at positions 28 to 507 of the family's 1533-position model. The record is from RNAcentral.